UCAAUAUUCGAUUUAAAAGAAAAAAGUAUCGACCAAUGUUUCAUACAUAAUUAAAGCUAAAUAUCCUUCUAAAUCCAAGGUGUCUAUAUACAUAAGUAUGAACUUCUAACAUUUUCCUUGCAUAGGAUACUCUGUCUGAAGCUAAGCGAUUGCUACUGUCUGUCGCCCUUCGUAUGGAUCAUGUUAAAAGGUCUCAGCUGUCACCAGUGGAAUAGAAAGAGAUCCAGCAGCAAGUGAUAUUUUCAAUGUGGCUUUUCCCUAACAAUAAAAAAAUAAUAUUAUACAACUGCAAAUUCUACCCCUUUGCAGGUUCCAGCAGGACCAGCACAUAACAUUAAAAAUGAAAACCCCCUUUCUUUAUUCAACAUUACCUACUGCCUAUUAAUGUUUGAAGUCUCCUGACUAUAUAAAUUCAAGUGAUACCUCAGAUUUGAGUGAUGCCUUCCCAAAAACUCUCAAGGCAUCCUCGUGCAGUGUUUUAUUUCCAU
RNAcentral lists this long non-coding RNA (488 nucleotides) under Daucus carota (carrot). Its description in RNAcentral is "long non-coding RNA (DCAR_LNC007191)". Lineage: Eukaryota; Viridiplantae; Streptophyta; Magnoliopsida; Apiales; Apiaceae. The record is from RNAcentral.